GUGGGGUAAUGGCCUACCAAGGCGACGACGGGUAGCCGGCCUGAGAGGGCGAUCGGCCACACUGGGACUGAGACACGGCCCAGACUCCUACGGGAGGCAGCAGUGGGGAAUAUUGCGCAAUGGGCGAAAGCCUGACGCAGCGACGCCGCGUGAGGGAUGAAGGCCUUCGGGUUGUAAACCUCUUUCAGCCUUGACGAAGCGAAAGUGACGGUAGGGGCAGAAGAAGCACCGGCUAACUACGUGCCAGCAGCCGCGGUAAUACGUAGGGUGCAAGCGUUGUCCGGAAUUAUUGGGCGUAAAGAGCUCGUAGGCGGUUUGUCGCGUCUGGUGUGAAAAUCCAGGGCUUAACCCUGGACCUGCAUCGGGUACGGGCAGACUAGAGUGCGGUAGGGGAGAUCGGAAUUCCUGGUGUAGCGGUGAAAUGCGCAGAUAUCAGGAGGAACACCGGUGGCGAAGGCGGAUCUCUGGGCCGUAACUGACGCUGAGGAGCGAAAGCAUGGGGAGCGAACAGGAUUAGAUACCCUGGUAGUCCAUGCCGUAAACGUUGGGCGCUAGGUGUGGGGCUCAUUCCACGAGUUCUGUGCCGCAGCUAACGCAUUAAGCG
This 604-nucleotide ribosomal RNA is filed under the name uncultured Actinomycetes bacterium. RNAcentral's name for it is "bacterial SSU rRNA". It matches the Rfam family "Bacterial small subunit ribosomal RNA", at positions 252 to 866 of the family's 1533-position model. Lineage: Bacteria; Bacillati; Actinomycetota; Actinomycetes. The record is from RNAcentral.